UCUUGACAUCCAGAGGAACUUGGCAGAGACUGGCCCUGGGUGCCUUCGGGACCUCUGAGACAGGUGCUGCAUGGCUGUCGUCAACUCGUGUUGUGAAAUGUUGGGUUAAGUCCGCAACGAGCGCAACCCCUAUCCUUUGUUGCCAGCGAUUCGGUCGGGAACUCAAAGGAGACUGCCGGUGAUAAACCGGAGGAAGGUGGGGAUGACGUCAAGUCAUCAUGGCCCUUACGAGUAGGGCUACACACGUGCUACAAUGGCGCAUACAAAGAGAAGCGACCUCGCGAGAGCAAGCGGACCUCAUAAAGUGCGUCGUAGUCCGGAUCGGAGUCUGCAACUCGACUCCGUGAAGUCGGAAUCGCUAGUAAUCGUAGAUCAGAAUGCUACGGUGAAUACGUUCCCGGGCCUUGUACACACCGCCCGUCACACCAUGGGAGUGGGUUGCAAAAGAAGUAGAUAGCUUAACCUUCGGGAGGGCGUUUACCACUUUGUGAUUCAUGACUGGGGUGAAGUCGUAACAAGGUAAGCGUAGACGU
RNAcentral lists this ribosomal RNA (533 nucleotides) under uncultured bacterium. RNAcentral describes it as "bacterial SSU rRNA". It matches the Rfam family "Bacterial small subunit ribosomal RNA", at positions 979 to 1509 of the family's 1533-position model. The record is from RNAcentral.